UUUAUGGAGAGUUUGAUCCUGGCUCAGGAUGAACGCUGGCGGCGUGCCUAAUACAUGCAAGUCGAGCGAACGGACGAGAAGCUUGCUUCUCUGAUGUUAGCGGCGGACGGGUGAGUAACACGUGGAUAACCUACCUAUAAGACUGGGAUAACUUCGGGAAACCGGAGCUAAUACCGGAUAAUAUUUUGAACCGCAUGGUUCAAAAGUGAAAGACGGUCUUGCUGUCACUUAUAGAUGGAUCCGCGCUGCAUUAGCUAGUUGGUAAGGUAACGGCUUACCAAGGCAACGAUGCAUAGCCGACCUGAGAGGGUGAUCGGCCACACUGGAACUGAGACACGGUCCAGACUCCUACGGGAGGCAGCAGUAGGGAAUCUUCCGCAAUGGGCGAAAGCCUGACGGAGCAACGCCGCGUGAGUGAUGAAGGUCUUCGGAUCGUAAAACUCUGUUAUUAGGGAAGAACAUAUGUGUAAGUAACUGUGCACAUCUUGACGGUACCUAAUCAGAAAGCCACGGCUAACUACGUGCCAGCAGCCGCGGUAAUACGUAGGUGGCAAGCGUUAUCCGGAAUUAUUGGGCGUAAAGCGCGCGUAGGCGGUUUUUUAAGUCUGAUGUGAAAGCCCACGGCUCAACCGUGGAGGGUCAUUGGAAACUGGAAAACUUGAGUGCAGAAGAGGAAAGUGGAAUUCCAUGUGUAGCGGUGAAAUGCGCAGAGAUAUGGAGGAACACCAGUGGCGAAGGCGACUUUCUGGUCUGUAACUGACGCUGAUGUGCGAAAGCGUGGGGAUCAAACAGGAUUAGAUACCCUGGUAGUCCACGCCGUAAACGAUGAGUGCUAAGUGUUAGGGGGU
RNAcentral lists this ribosomal RNA (848 nucleotides) under Staphylococcus aureus. RNAcentral's name for it is "bacterial SSU rRNA". It matches the Rfam family "Bacterial small subunit ribosomal RNA", at positions 1 to 831 of the family's 1533-position model. The record is from RNAcentral. Lineage: Bacteria; Bacillati; Bacillota; Bacilli; Caryophanales; Staphylococcaceae.